GGGGAAUAUUGCACAAUGGACGAAAGUCUGAUGCAGCAACGCCGCGUGGAGGAUGACACAUUUCGGUGCGUAAACUCCUUUUAUAUAGGAAGAUAAUGACAGUACCUGGAGAAUAAGCUCCGGCUAACUCCGUGCCAGCAGCCGCGGUAAUACGGAGGGAGCUAGCGUUGUUCGGAAUUACUGGGCGUAAAGCGCGCGUAGGCGGUUACUCAAGUCAGAGGUGAAAGCCCGGGGCUCAACCCCGGAACUGCCUUUGAAACUAGGUGACUAGAAUCUUGGAGAGGUCAGUGGAAUUCCGAGUGUAGAGGUGAAAUUCGUAGAUAUUCGGAAGAACACCAGUGGCGAAGGCGACUGACUGGACAAGUAUUGACGCUGAGGUGCGAAAGCGUGGGGAGCAAACA
RNAcentral lists this ribosomal RNA (401 nucleotides) under uncultured Sphingomonadaceae bacterium. Its description in RNAcentral is "bacterial SSU rRNA". It matches the Rfam family "Bacterial small subunit ribosomal RNA", at positions 356 to 774 of the family's 1533-position model. Lineage: Bacteria; Pseudomonadati; Pseudomonadota; Alphaproteobacteria; Sphingomonadales; Sphingomonadaceae. The record is from RNAcentral.